RNAcentral lists this ribosomal RNA (424 nucleotides) under uncultured Bacteroides sp. RNAcentral's name for it is "bacterial SSU rRNA". It matches the Rfam family "Bacterial small subunit ribosomal RNA", at positions 338 to 759 of the family's 1533-position model. Lineage: Bacteria; Pseudomonadati; Bacteroidota; Bacteroidia; Bacteroidales; Bacteroidaceae. The record is from RNAcentral.
CCUACGGGCGGCAGCAGUGAGGAAUAUUGGUCAAUGGGCGAGAGCCUGAACCAGCCAAGUAGCGUGAAGGAUGACUGCCCUAUGGGUUGUAAACUUCUUUUAUAAAGGAAUAAAGUCGGGUAUGGAUACCCGUUUGCAUGUACUUUAUGAAUAAGGAUCGGCUAACUCCGUGCCAGCAGCCGCGGUAAUACGGAGGAUCCGAGCGUUAUCCGGAUUUAUUGGGUUUAAAGGGAGCGCAGACGGGAGAUUAAGUCAGUUGUGAAAGUUUGCGGCUCAACCGUAAAAUUGCAGUUGAUACUGGUUUCCUUGAGUGCAGUUGAGGCAGGCGGAAUUCGUGGUGUAGCGGUGAAAUGCUUAGAUAUCACGCAGAACCCCGAUUGCGAAGGCAGCCUGCUAGGGUGCGACAGACGCUGAGGCACGAAAG